AUGAUAAAGAUGCAGUACCUUUCUCUUAAAAAAAAAAAUGGUAUGGAAAGCUGUGAGAAUUGAAGAGACAAAUUGGCUGUGUCAGUGUGGGGUUAUGUCAUGAUUUCUAGAAGCCCUGAAGUUGCUCUUUUCAGCAGCUUUGCAUGACACGCUCUGGUAAAAGGUGUGCAUCUUUAAAUUAUUUCAUGGAUACUUUGAAAAAUAUUGUAUCACUUCAAAUACAGCAAUAAGUUUAUAUGUUCUCAAGAUUUCAUUUGUUUUUAAGAAUUUAAAGUUCGUGGAUUCAUAUCACUACUUGAAUACUGACAGUUGUUGAUUAGACACCGAAAGGUUACUGAUUAUUGAAUGUAUCUGUGUUAGAGCUGUGCACUGGCACGCUUGCAUCAGGGGCUGGGGCCACACGGCCGCCACACAGAUUCCCCCGUGAUGCCUGGAGCUGCUUCCAGAGCCGGGUGUCUCCAAGAGGUACCUGUAGGACUUCCCAUUUAGAAAUCUCUGAGUGGGUUUGUAUGUUACCUUCUCCAAGGUUUAUUUAGGACAGAGAUAUUGCGGGAAGGUCAUGGGUCAGAUUCCCUCACGACCCACCUCGUCUGCGGGUGCAGCCCCACCCCAAGGCUCCCCGUUAUUGGGGUAUGUGAGGAGCAGUAAAUAUAAAACCAGUUCACCUGUCCUCAUGGAAUUACCCUUUCUAUUUUUGCAGUAUUCAUAAAGCUAGUAUAAGGUCUGGUUUUAGUCUAUUAAAUCUUAGAGAUCUAAAGGAAAUGCUCAAAAUGUAGCCAGGUUUUAAAUGCUUCAACUUUUAAAAAAUGUAAAUUUUUGUAUGUUUAUAGCUUCUAAAUAUGAAAGUUAAAGAAUGUACUGUGAUGAAAUGUUCAGUAUUAUGUUGCUUCUCAGUAUUGUGUUGCUUCUGAUUCUAUGAAUGUUCAUUUUAAGACCCCUUGUUGAAAUGGGACAGUUGGCAGCGGCUCUGGUGAGCCCGAGAAGAGGCCUGCCCUUGGGUGCGGAGUCUCCCUCCGCACGAUGCUCCCACGCGUCCAACUUGCACCCAAGGGGCUUUUCCCUCUUCCAAGUGGACUCCUUCAAGGAAGCUGCAGCUCGGUCAGCAGAGAAGGGGCCUGCCGCCAGCGCCCUGGAGGAAGAGGAAGAGGAACCCAAGAGGAUGGCUUGUCUCCCAGCAGCCACACCGGCUUUGUGCUCAGCCAGUUCAUUUGAGUUUGCAUGUUUCUCUGCACUAUGGAUUUUGAGCAUUUAGAUUUCUUUAAUCAAAAGCGUUUUAGUGACUCCAGUAGACAUUUUCUUUCUGAGGCAUCGUGCUUUGCAUGAGAGCAGGCCAAGGUUGAGGGGAAAAGUAAAGUUAAAGUCGGUUCUCUUUCAUAGCAACACGUAUUGUCUGACAUUCAGCCAGCUUUUUUUUUUUCUAAUAAUUUCUGUGCCUUCCUGUCCUGUAUUUACUGUAUUUAGAAAAAGCAGCUAGAAUAUUUCUCCAUUAACUCUUGAGAUUCACAGGACUGUCUAGCUCUGAGUCCUAGCAAUAGACUCCUUAGAGGGGUAGUACAUUUAUCUCGAUUUUCUCUAGAUAAUGCAGGCGGAAGACCUGGGUUCCCGGGUGGGGCAUUGCAGUUCUUCCUGUGUUUGGCUUCCAGGAAUUACAUGAACGACAGCCUUCGCACCGACGUCUUCGUGCGCUUCCAGCCAGAGAGCAUCGCCUGCGCCUGCAUUUAUCUUGCUGCCCGGACGCUGGAGAUCCCUUUGCCCAAUCGUCCCCAUUGGUUUCUUUUGUUUGGAGCAAGUGAAGAAGAAAUUCAGGAAAUCUGCUUAAAGAUCUUGCAGCUUUAUGCUCGGAAAAAGGUUGAUCUCACACACCUGGAGGGUGAAGUGGAAAAAAGAAAGCACGCUAUCGAAGAGGCAAAGGCCCAAGCCCGGGGCCUGUUGCCUGGGGGCACACAGGUGCUGGAUGGUACCUCGGGGUUCUCUCCUGCCCCCAAGCUGGUGGAAUCCCCCAAAGAAGGUAAAGGGAGCAAGCCUUCCCCACUGUCUGUGAAGAACACCAAGAGGAGGCUGGAGGGCGCCAAGAAAGCCAAGGCGGACAGCCCCGUGAACGGCUUGCCAAAGGGGCGAGAGAGUCGAAGUCGGAGCCGGAGCCGUGAGCAGAGCUACUCGAGGUCCCCAUCCCGAUCAGCGUCUCCUAAGAGGAGGAAAAGUGACAGCGGCUCCACAUCUGGUGGGUCCAAGUCGCAGAGCCGCUCCCGGAGCAGGAGUGACUCCCCACCGAGACAGGCCCCCCGCAGCGCUCCCUACAAAGGCUCUGAGAUUCGGGGCUCCCGGAAGUCCAAGGACUGCAAGUACCCCCAGAAGCCACACAAGUCUCGGAGCCGGAGUUCUUCCCGUUCUCGAAGCAGGUCACGGGAGCGGGCGGAUAAUCCGGGAAAAUACAAGAAGAAAAGUCAUUACUACAGAGAUCAGCGACGAGAGCGCUCGAGGUCGUAUGAACGCGCAGGCCGUCGCUAUGAGCGGGACCACCCUGGGCACAGCAGGCAUCGGAGGUGAGGCGGGGUUGCAGUGACUGGUGGCCGCAAGCCCUUCCCUGGGGAGUACCUGAUGGCUGCCCUUUGACCCCCGGUGGCUGCCCUUUGACCCCCGGGUGUGCUCUCUCAGCGCAAGUGGCCCUAGAGCAGGAUUCUUUUUGGAAAUGUCUGUCGACUGGACCUUGGUGGAUUUGGAAAUGGAACUGAGGGACCGGUGACACGUGCUUCAGACCGGUCUGGGGUGCGGCGCACACCUGGGCCGGUGCGGGGCUCAGCUCGGCAGCAGCUCUGAGGGCAGCUCAAUGAAAAAGUGAAUGCACACGCCCUUGGUGGCGUGGCCUGGCAUGGCCUGGUGCUAUCGGCAGCCGCUCCCCACUCCCCGACUGAUACUCAAUUACGUGAAGCCAAGAAGGAUGAUUUUUAGAACCUUUGCCUAUAUUAGGUUGUACUUAUGUACAUAUUUUGCAGUGUUUCACAGGAGAAAGUGGCCUUAACUGCCCCUUAUUCUCUCUCCACGUUGUAAAUAAACAUGUGUUUAAUAC
RNAcentral lists this small RNA (3067 nucleotides) under Pan troglodytes (chimpanzee). RNAcentral describes it as "retained intron". Lineage: Eukaryota; Metazoa; Chordata; Mammalia; Primates; Hominidae. The record is from RNAcentral.